This is a small nuclear RNA of Gorilla gorilla gorilla (western lowland gorilla), 105 nucleotides long. Lineage: Eukaryota; Metazoa; Chordata; Mammalia; Primates; Hominidae. The record is from Ensembl.
GUAGCUCACUUUGGCAACACAUAUACUAAAAUUGGAACAAUACAGAGAUUAGCAUGGCCCUUGUGUGAGAAUGACACACAAAUUUGUGAAGCAUUCCAUAAAAGA